This 402-nucleotide long non-coding RNA is filed under the name Gossypium barbadense (sea-island cotton). RNAcentral's name for it is "long non-coding RNA (GBAR_LNC004678)". Lineage: Eukaryota; Viridiplantae; Streptophyta; Magnoliopsida; Malvales; Malvaceae. The record is from RNAcentral.
CAAAAACACAUCUUGCGAGGAAGAAUUCCGCCCCUGAAUCAUGAACAAAUUCUUUGCUUCCCACAAUUGCAAGAAAAGCACAACUAAACUAGUGAAAGCUUCUUUGUCUUUCGCAUAACUGCCCAAAGCCAACCGAUCACAUUAUAGAAAGACAUACAAAGCAAAUCAUUAUAAAUACUACAAAAAAGUUAAGAUCUCCCUCGAAAUUAGGCAAUCUUUAAAAGCAUACAUAACAUCCUCCUUAAAGGCCUUACAUCUAGGACAAUUUGGAUUCGGCCCUUGAGAGUACAAAGCACAUCGCUCAAUUAUAGGUAGGAUGUCAUGGCCAAACCUUUACCCAGAAAGUCAGAAUUUUGGAAGGGUUUACGCCUUCCAUUUUAGAAAGAAGGUGGUACAAAAAAG